This 738-nucleotide ribosomal RNA is filed under the name uncultured bacterium. RNAcentral's name for it is "bacterial SSU rRNA". It matches the Rfam family "Bacterial small subunit ribosomal RNA", at positions 243 to 972 of the family's 1533-position model. The record is from RNAcentral.
AGCUAGUUGGUGGGGUAAAGGCCUACCAAGGCGACGAUCUGUAGCGGGUCUGAGAGGAUGAUCCGCCACACUGGGACUGAGACACGGCCCAGACUCCUACGGGAGGCAGCAGUGGGGAAUAUUGGACAAUGGGCGCAAGCCUGAUCCAGCCAUGCCGCGUGUGUGAAGAAGGCCUUAUGGUUGUAAAGCACUUUAAGCGAGGAGGAGGCUACUGAAGUUAAUACCUUCAGAUAGUGGACGUUACUCGCAGAAUAAGCACCGGCUAACUCUGUGCCAGCAGCCGCGGUAAUACAGAGGGUGCAAGCGUUAAUCGGAUUUACUGGGCGUAAAGCGCGCGUAGGCGGCUAAUUAAGUCAAAUGUGAAAUCCCCGAGCUUAACUUGGGAAUUGCAUUCGAUACUGGUUAGCUAGAGUGUGGGAGAGGAUGGUAGAAUUCCAGGUGUAGCGGUGAAAUGCGUAGAGAUCUGGAGGAAUACCGAUGGCGAAGGCAGCCAUCUGGCCUAACACUGACGCUGAGGUGCGAAAGCAUGGGGAGCAAACAGGAUUAGAUACCCUGGUAGUCCAUGCCGUAAACGAUGUCUACUAGCCGUUGGGGCCUUUGAGGCUUUAGUGGCGCAGCUAACGCGAUAAGUAGACCGCCUGGGGAGUACGGUCGCAAGACUAAAACUCAAAUGAAUUGACGGGGGCCCGCACAAGCGGUGGAGCAUGUGGUUUAAUUCGAUGCAACGCGAAGAACCUU